Molecule: non-coding RNA, 117 nt
Filed under: human gut metagenome
Description: FMN riboswitch (RFN element)
Rfam family: FMN riboswitch aptamer (RFN element)
About the family: The RFN element is a highly conserved domain that is found frequently in the 5'-untranslated regions of prokaryotic mRNAs that encode for flavin mononucleotide (FMN) biosynthesis and transport proteins. This element is a metabolite-dependent riboswitch that directly binds FMN in the absence of proteins.
Source: RNAcentral
UGUCUUCAGGGCCGGGUGCAAUUCCCGACCGGCGGUGACAGUCCGCGAACCCGGAGUUUUUCCGGGCCGAACCGGUGAAAGUCCGGUACCGACAGUAAAGUCUGGAUGGAAGAAGAU